RNAcentral lists this ribosomal RNA (253 nucleotides) under uncultured bacterium. RNAcentral's name for it is "partial 16S ribosomal RNA". It matches the Rfam family "Bacterial small subunit ribosomal RNA", at positions 524 to 776 of the family's 1533-position model. The record is from RNAcentral.
UACGUAGGGACCAAGCGUUGUUCGGAUUUACUGGGCGUAAAGGGCGCGUAGGCGGCGAAUCAAGUCAGCUGUGAAAUCUCCGAGCUUAACUCCAGAACUGCCUUUGAUACUGAGGAUCUUGAGUACGGGAGAGGUGAGUGGAACUGCGAGUGUAGAGGUGAAAUUCGUAGAUAUUCGCAAGAACACCAGUGGCGAAGGCGGCUCACUGGCCCGUUACUGACGCUGAGGCACGAAAGCGUGGGGAGCAAACAGG